RNAcentral lists this ribosomal RNA (422 nucleotides) under uncultured Proteiniphilum sp. RNAcentral's name for it is "bacterial SSU rRNA". It matches the Rfam family "Bacterial small subunit ribosomal RNA", at positions 355 to 774 of the family's 1533-position model. Lineage: Bacteria; Pseudomonadati; Bacteroidota; Bacteroidia; Bacteroidales; Dysgonomonadaceae. The record is from RNAcentral.
UGAGGAAUAUUGGUCAAUGGACGCAAGUCUGAACCAGCCACGUCGCGUGAAGGAAGACGGCCCUACGGGUUGUAAACUUCUUUUAUACGGGAAUAAAGUGCCCCACGUGUGGGGUUUUGCAUGUACCGUAUGAAUAAGGAUCGGCUAACUCCGUGCCAGCAGCCGCGGUAAUACGGAGGAUCCGAGCGUUAUCCGGAUUUAUUGGGUUUAAAGGGUGCUCAGGCGGGGGGUUAAGUCGGCGGUGAAAUUUUGCAGCUCAACUGUAAAAGUGCCUUCGAAACUGGUUCCCUUGAGUGCGGAUGAGGUAGGCGGAAUUUGUGGUGUAGCGGUGAAAUGCAUAGAUAUCACGAGGAACUCCGAUUGCGCAGGCAGCUUACCAAGCCGUAACUGACGCUCAAGCACGAAGGCGUGGGGAUCAAACA